Long non-coding RNA from Populus trichocarpa (black cottonwood), 833 nucleotides. RefSeq lists it as uncharacterized. The transcript is spliced from 3 exons. The record is from RefSeq and is a predicted model, not a curated record. Lineage: Eukaryota; Viridiplantae; Streptophyta; Magnoliopsida; Malpighiales; Salicaceae.
UUUUUUAUUUUAAAAAUAUUUUUUUAUUAUUUUAAAUUAAUUUUUUUAAUAUUAUAUUAAAAAUAAAUGUUUUAUAAAAAAAUAUCAUUUUAAUAUAUUUUCAAAUAAUAUUUUAAAAAAUAAUAAUUAUUAUGAUAAUAUGCAGCACCACCGAUUUACGAGUAGAACGGCGAACAAAUGUUGAAACGAUUCAGGCUUGAAUCCCCCUUCUCUUCAAGUUCAAGAUCCAAUAUCAAUAAUGAUUCUUUGUUUCCUUUCUUCUUCUUCUUCUUCUUCUUCUUCUUCUUCUUCUCCAGACGCUUGUGGAGUAUUAAUGCAGAAUAAUGCAACUUCAGCCCCCCCAUUAGCUGACGAGGAGGAAGAAAGUUAGGUGAAAAAAAAUGAUGUGGAAUCUGAUGAAUUGAAGAACAUGCAUGCUGUUACAACAAUGAUACUCCAUUGUGGAUGAGAUGAGUCACUCAUCUAUCAUACGUGUUUCUCAGACCACCUUGAAUGCUGGGAGUGGCUCUCCUGGAUUUUCACAUGGUCUUAAUUGGGCUCUAGCUAGAAAAGGUGUUACUGUGAAGGAUAAAAAGCCUUUAGAAACUUGAGUCCUUCUGAGCUACAACAGAAAGGUGCAAUCGCAGCAGGCGGUGAACUUCAACGCAUACUGUUACUAUUUCCAAUGAUCUUUCUUUAUAUUCCAUCACUGUGUUUAUCUUAUUUCUUUCUUUUUUUCAUUUGUUUCUCCUUUCUUUUGGAAUCUUUGUCAGGAGUUCCCAUUCAUGUUAGGGGGAGUCUUCUUGGGAGAGCUUCCGAAAUUUCCAAGCCGUAAUUCAGUAAACUUCUCAAAC